UGGGCAGCGUGAGGAUUGGAGUGACUUUGACAAGGGCUAAAUUGUGAUGGCUAGAAGACUGGCUCUUGUGGGGUGUUCCCGGUCUGCAGAGGUCAGUACCUAACAAAAGUGGUCCAAGGAAGGAAAACGCUCAAAUUGCUGAGAAGUCGAAACAAGCUCGAACAACAACUCACUGUUACGUAGACUGUUGAACAGAGGCAUGCACAAUAUUAACAGGUUAUGUGUCACAAGUUGUCACUGUAUCAGUAUUAUUUCUUCCAGCAUACUAUAGUGCCCCUACUGAGUCUCCCACAGAGUAGAAAAACCAUGAAAGCCAUGAAAGGAAAUUGAAUCUAUCCUCUGGCUUUCCAGAAUAUCAUUGACAAUUGCUGUUUGUCAUACAGUGUGCUCAGCUUAUAUGUCAUCACAUCACAUCACACACAGUACAUGUUGAUGGUCAGUGUAUUUUGCAGCCAACGGAUUUUUGUUUUGAAAUAAGGAAACUAAAAUCAGGAAAUGAGCCGUUUCCCAAAUACCAGUUAUCAGUAACGGAACAAAAAACAGAGAAACAUAAAAUGGAAAAUGGGUUGUUUUCCACCUUUUAUUCCUCUAUUUAUAAACAGUAGUUGGGAAACAGCUUGUUUCCCAGUUGUCAAAAGCUCAGUGCAGUAGUCAGCUGGGUGAACUUGUCUUCCAUGCAGACUUCAUCUCGCUCUCUGGUUCUGGAUGUUGGAGAGGACCGGCUGGUGUUGACGGCUCGGCCCUCGCUCUUCCAUCUCGACAUCUUCCAUCCCUUCCUCAUCGACCAGGAGAACAGUGUGGCCCAGUACAACAACAGCACUCAGAUCCUCACAGUCACCAUGCCUGUGGUGUCUUCAUGAAACUACAGAAAUAUUGUCCAGAUAUUUUUUUUGUUUCAAAAUGCUCCUGUGACAAUAAAAGUGUUUUUAAAAAGUUUUU
Long non-coding RNA from Morone saxatilis (striped sea-bass), 939 nucleotides. RefSeq lists it as uncharacterized. Lineage: Eukaryota; Metazoa; Chordata; Actinopteri; Moronidae. The record is from RefSeq and is a predicted model, not a curated record. The transcript has 2 exons.